CGGGAUAUAGUUCAGCCCGGUUAGAAUGCCUGCUUUGGGAGCAGGAGGUCGUGAGUUCGAAUCUCGCUAUCCCGA
RNAcentral lists this transfer RNA (75 nucleotides) under Bacteroidales bacterium. RNAcentral describes it as "tRNA-Pro". It matches the Rfam family "tRNA". Rfam says of the family: Transfer RNA (tRNA) molecules are approximately 80 nucleotides in length. Their secondary structure includes four short double-helical elements and three loops (D, anti-codon, and T loops). The record is from RNAcentral. Lineage: Bacteria; Pseudomonadati; Bacteroidota; Bacteroidia; Bacteroidales. RNAcentral also lists the same sequence under 2 other names.